This 361-nucleotide unclassified non-coding RNA is filed under the name Hevea brasiliensis (rubber tree). Lineage: Eukaryota; Viridiplantae; Streptophyta; Magnoliopsida; Malpighiales; Euphorbiaceae. The record is from RNAcentral.
AACUACUGCUUCUCUGAUUGGCACUGGUAUCACAACAGCCUUGAUUAAUUCAAGAAAAGCAUUUGACCAGACCAGUGAAGGAGAGAAUCUCCCUAUUCUCUCAACUAGCGUUGCUUAUGGUGUAUAUAUGGCAGUUUCAAGUAACCUUAGGUACCAGGUACUGGCUGGUGUUAUUGAGCAGAGGAUGUUGGAACCUUUGCUGCAUAAGCACAAACUGGUGCUGAGUGCCAUAUGCUUUGCAGUCCGUACUGGAAAUACAUUUUUGGGAUCUUUGCUGUGGGUUGACUACGCUCGCUGGGUAGGCAUCCAGAAGAUUCAUGACUAGAAAAGCAACCAUUCUUGAUGGUAGCUUUGACUUGGG